GACGAACGCUGGCGGCGUGCUUAACACAUGCAAGUCGAACGGAAAGGCCCUGCUUUUGUGGGGUGCUCGAGUGGCGAACGGGUGAGUAACACGUGAGUAACCUGCCCUUGACUUUGGGAUAACUUCAGGAAACUGGGGCUAAUACCGGAUAGGAGCUCCUGCCGCAUGGUGGGGGUUGGAAAGUUUCGGCGGUUGGGGAUGGACUCGCGGCUUAUCAGCUUGUUGGUGGGGUAGUGGCUUACAAAGGCUUUGACGGGUAGCCGGCCUGAGAGGGUGACCGGCCACAUUGGGACUGAGAUACGGCCCAGACUCCUACGGGAGGCAGCAGUGGGGAAUAUUGCACAAUGGGCGGAAGACUGAUGCAGCAACGCCGCGUGCGGGAUGACGGCCUUCGGGUUGUAAACCGCUUUCGCCUGUGACGAAGCGUGAGUGACGGUAAUGGGUAAAGAAGCACCGGCUAACUACGUG
Molecule: ribosomal RNA, 468 nt
Filed under: uncultured bacterium
Lineage: Bacteria
Description: partial 16S ribosomal RNA
Rfam family: Bacterial small subunit ribosomal RNA
Source: RNAcentral